ACUAAUUCCCAGAGGCAAAGAGAAAGACAGGAGGCAGGGGAGCGAAUGAGGAGAGAUCUACUCAGCAAGUCUGCUUCUCUCAUGUCUGUCGAGAAUAUGCCACCGAGAUCACGRGUAAUUCAACCAAGAAAAUUCCUUAUCUGUAAAAGAGCUGUGACUUUCAGACGGUGACAGAGGGAAGGAUGUGACUUCUAAAUGCCUUCAUGCUGACUAUUGAUAAGGUCACACAGUUUGAUCAUCUCAGCCUGCACAACCUGGAGCCAGAUGUGAGCGGGUCRUGUUCUUUUGCCCAAGCUGACGUCUGACCCGGAGAUUUGGACGGAGAAUAUUCAUGGCUGCGUCCUUGCGGAAAAUUCCAGGGAGGAUAUAUUUCAUGACCGUCAUACGACCCUUCCUGUGCAGCACACAUGGGCAAACUGCCAYACCAUACUGUAAAAAUGCUACCAGAUGGCCUCCGUAUCCUUUUACUGUCCGACGCUGUGGUUCUGGGUUAACUGGGUGACGCCCACUCCGAAUAUUUUCUUUUUUCUUGCAGCCAAAGCUGUUUAGACUCUCUAAACAGAGGAGCCUGUCUCACAAUCUGCUACACAAUGAUAAAAGCAGAUCUGUGUUUGCUGCUGAAAAUAGGUCCUCAACAAAGCAGCAGUGAAGAUUGUCUGAUAAUCAGAUUAGAGAGUAGCUUUCUGCACUUACACAAGUAUUUUCUUUUUUAUUAUAUAAAAAAUAAAUAAACCCUUUCUUCCCUGUC
Austrofundulus limnaeus is the source of this 748-nucleotide long non-coding RNA. RefSeq lists it as uncharacterized. The record is from RefSeq and is a predicted model, not a curated record. The transcript has 3 exons. NCBI's taxonomy places the organism in Eukaryota, Metazoa, Chordata, Actinopteri, Cyprinodontiformes, Rivulidae.